This 1540-nucleotide ribosomal RNA is filed under the name Klebsiella pneumoniae. Its description in RNAcentral is "bacterial SSU rRNA". It matches the Rfam family "Bacterial small subunit ribosomal RNA". Lineage: Bacteria; Pseudomonadati; Pseudomonadota; Gammaproteobacteria; Enterobacterales; Enterobacteriaceae. The record is from RNAcentral.
AAAUUGAAGAGUUUGAUCAUGGCUCAGAUUGAACGCUGGCGGCAGGCCUAACACAUGCAAGUCGAGCGGUAGCACAGAGAGCUUGCUCUCGGGUGACGAGCGGCGGACGGGUGAGUAAUGUCUGGGAAACUGCCUGAUGGAGGGGGAUAACUACUGGAAACGGUAGCUAAUACCGCAUAAUGUCGCAAGACCAAAGUGGGGGACCUUCGGGCCUCAUGCCAUCAGAUGUGCCCAGAUGGGAUUAGCUAGUAGGUGGGGUAACGGCUCACCUAGGCGACGAUCCCUAGCUGGUCUGAGAGGAUGACCAGCCACACUGGAACUGAGACACGGUCCAGACUCCUACGGGAGGCAGCAGUGGGGAAUAUUGCACAAUGGGCGCAAGCCUGAUGCAGCCAUGCCGCGUGUGUGAAGAAGGCCUUCGGGUUGUAAAGCACUUUCAGCGGGGAGGAAGGCGAUAAGGUUAAUAACCUUGUCGAUUGACGUUACCCGCAGAAGAAGCACCGGCUAACUCCGUGCCAGCAGCCGCGGUAAUACGGAGGGUGCAAGCGUUAAUCGGAAUUACUGGGCGUAAAGCGCACGCAGGCGGUCUGUCAAGUCGGAUGUGAAAUCCCCGGGCUCAACCUGGGAACUGCAUUCGAAACUGGCAGGCUAGAGUCUUGUAGAGGGGGGUAGAAUUCCAGGUGUAGCGGUGAAAUGCGUAGAGAUCUGGAGGAAUACCGGUGGCGAAGGCGGCUCCCUGGACAAAGACUGACGCUCAGGUGCGAAAGCGUGGGGAGCAAACAGGAUUAGAUACCCUGGUAGUCCACGCCGUAAACGAUGUCGAUUUGGAGGUUGUGCCCUUGAGGCGUGGCUUCCGGAGCUAACGCGUUAAAUCGACCGCCUGGGGAGUACGGCCGCAAGGUUAAAACUCAAAUGAAUUGACGGGGGCCCGCACAAGCGGUGGAGCAUGUGGUUUAAUUCGAUGCAACGCGAAGAACCUUACCUGGUCUUGACAUCCACAGAACUUUCCAGAGAUGGAUUGGUGCCUUCGGGAACUGUGAGACAGGUGCUGCAUGGCUGUCGUCAGCUCGUGUUGUGAAAUGUUGGGUUAAGUCCCGCAACGAGCGCAACCCUUAUCCUUUGUUGCCAGCGGUUCGGCCGGGAACUCAAAGGAGACUGCCAGUGAUAAACUGGAGGAAGGUGGGGAUGACGUCAAGUCAUCAUGGCCCUUACGACCAGGGCUACACACGUGCUACAAUGGCAUAUACAAAGAGAAGCGACCUCGCGAGAGCAAGCGGACCUCAUAAAGUAUGUCGUAGUCCGGAUUGGAGUCUGCAACUCGACUCCAUGAAGUCGGAAUCGCUAGUAAUCGUAGAUCAGAAUGCUACGGUGAAUACGUUCCCGGGCCUUGUACACACCGCCCGUCACACCAUGGGAGUGGGUUGCAAAAGAAGUAGGUAGCUUAACCUUCGGGAGGGCGCUUACCACUUUGUGAUUCAUGACUGGGGUGAAGUCGUAACAAGGUAACCGUAGGGGAACCUGCGGUUGGAUCACCUCCUUA